Homo sapiens (human) is the source of this 1917-nucleotide long non-coding RNA. Ensembl annotates it as testis expressed transcript, Y-linked 10. Its record names the gene TTTY10. NCBI's taxonomy places the organism in Eukaryota, Metazoa, Chordata, Mammalia, Primates, Hominidae. The record is from Ensembl.
UUUUUUUUUUUUUUUUUGACAACGAAGUUUCGCUCUUGUUGCCCAUGCUGGAGUGCAGGGGCGCGAUCUGCCCGUCUAAUUUUUGUAUUUUUAGUAGAGAUGGGGUUUCACCAUGUUGGCCAGGCUCUCAAACCCCUGACCUAGUGAUCCUCCCGCCUCUGCCGCCCAAAUUCCUGGGAUUGCAGUAGUGAGCCACCGCGCCCGGCCUAUUUUUUUCAGUCUUAUCUUCUCUACCUCACCACCUCACAGUAAAGCAUCCUAUAUGUGUCUUUGCCUAUAAAACAGGUUUCUUGAAGACAGCAUACUAAUGGAUUUUGGUUUUUUAUUCAACCUGCCAUGUUGGGUUUUUAAAUUGGGGCAGAUAACUCAUUUACAUUUAAGAUAGGUUCGACAACAUCACCAAGGACCAAACAUUGUGGUAGAUGUACAUGCAAUGUACAUGCAGAGUACAGGUUGAUGCCUGAAUAAAGAGAUGCUGGGUGAGUGUCUGAACCUAGAUGACAUGGAGGAGUCCUGCAGAAAAUAUUUGCUAUUGAAUUCAAAGGUCUAUAGAGAGUUCUCAACUAAUGAAAAAUCAUUGCAUUAUCUUGAGAGCAAUAGCAAUGAUCAUGCCAACAGUAAUUCAGACUGUGUCAUAAGUUGGGUCACACAGUCCCUAUUUUCAAACUUUGUGGAUGUCUGUCAACUGGCAGUGAAUUGUAUUCAGGAGAAAAGAAGUCUAAAGGAAUGACAGGCAUUUCAUCAGCAACUCCAGGAUGGCAGGCCGUUAUCCUGAAACCUAUCAGAACAGCUCCUGCUUGGCUUCCAAAAUAUCACAAUUUUGGAAAUGUACAAAGGUUGAAGAGUGCUCUGGCUGUAGAGGGUCCCCACGAUCUGUCAUCUAGUAACUCACCAGAUACAUAAGAUAUUUUGCCUGCUAUGAAGCCAUUGGAGAAUCAGGUCCAGCUGUGUCCUACAGAUUUAUACCCUCACUUUGGAUGCACUGUGAAUCUUGAAACAAUUCAUUUUAUACUUAACCCUUUAAGUAUAAAGUAUAUACUUCAAGUAUAAAGUGUAAGGUUGCUUCAUUUCAUGGGCCCACCCAGGAUUUAAAGGUGUAUUCCCUGAAAGAAUUGGUUCCUUCCGGUGGGUUCCUGGCUGACUUCAAGAAUGAAGCUGCAGACACUUAUGGACUGGGAGGAGGCCCACGAGAAAAACAGGAAGAACAAGAGAAAGGCUGAGGCUCUAGUGGCUGCUUUGCAGACUUGCAGAGUCCAGGAUCCCCCAGGAACUUCCACUGAUUGCUACCUGUUACCAGUGUUAAAGCCAGGGCACUUUAAGAAGAAUUGCCCAAGCCACAAGAAAAAGCCACCUUGACCACUUUUGUGGUGAAGACCACUGGAGAUUGCACUACUGACCACCAAGACAGAGACACAAUAGCGAAUCUAGAAGUGGAAGUGUGAGAGAUACCUGCAGCUGUUAAGAUGUCUGGGAAUAGACACACAAACUCUCUCUCCCAGAUAAGCAACACAAAGCAGCACAGAGCAACAGAGACUGAAAGUCUGCCUACCUGAUCAGGGAAUAAGGUGAGAGUUGAUAAAGACUCUGCUCUAUACAGAAAGCAUACCUGGUUCCAACUAAAUCAUCAGGUUUUAUGAGGAUAAGACAUCCUCUCCUCACUAGUGCCCUCCUCAUUAGCCCAUUUACAAAAACCCUGAGAUUUUAGCACAGCUUGGCAACCUACUCAGGGCUCCUCUCUAUGCUGAAGAGCUGUUCUUUUUGUCUAUUAAACUCCUGCUCUAAACUCAUUCUAUGGGUGUGUGUAUCCACAGCCUUGAUCCACUUGGCUGUGAGACUAAGAUCCUUGGUAUUUACCACAGACAAUUAGGUUGUUUCAGAAAUUUCCUGUUUAAAAAAAAAAAAGACAUAGAUCUAAAA